Molecule: long non-coding RNA, 261 nt
Organism: Gorilla gorilla gorilla (western lowland gorilla)
Lineage: Eukaryota; Metazoa; Chordata; Mammalia; Primates; Hominidae
Exons: 3
Source: RefSeq, a predicted model, not a curated record
UCCAUCCCCUUCUCUCCUGGCCUCAGAGCCUGGAUUUUCCCCUUCUAAAAGAAAUCAGCCUACGGAAAUAAGAGCCAGCAUCCUCCCACCUGGAGGUAUCCCCCCUUCAGUGCAGGCAGAACCGGCGACUUGCUUCUAAUCAACAAAAUACGGCAAAGACUCUUAAACUCUGAUACAUGUAUUUCCUGAGUGGGAGAUUUGGAGAAUGUACAUAUGACUCUCUACUUCUGAGCUGUCACCAUGAUGAAUUGAAUGUGCCCA